UACAGAGGGGGCAAGCGUUGUUCGGAAUUACUGGGCGUAAAGGGCGCGUAGGCGGCCUUCUAAGUCGAACGUGAAAUCCCCGGGCUCAACCCGGGAACUGCGUCCGAUACUGGAAGGCUUGAAUCCGGGAGAGGGAUGCGGAAUUCCAGGUGUAGCGGUGAAAUGCGUAGAGAUCGGGAGGAACACCAGUGGCGAAGGCGGCUACCUGGACCAGCACUGACACUGAAGCACGAAAGCGUGGGGAGCAAACAGG
RNAcentral lists this ribosomal RNA (253 nucleotides) under uncultured bacterium. RNAcentral describes it as "partial 16S ribosomal RNA". It matches the Rfam family "Bacterial small subunit ribosomal RNA", at positions 524 to 776 of the family's 1533-position model. The record is from RNAcentral.